AUACUACUGAAGAGUCCCGAAGUGGGACGAAACAGCUGUCCAGUAC
Trichobilharzia regenti is the source of this 46-nucleotide non-coding RNA. NCBI's taxonomy places the organism in Eukaryota, Metazoa, Platyhelminthes, Trematoda, Strigeidida, Schistosomatidae. The record is from Rfam.